Long non-coding RNA from Octopus sinensis (East Asian common octopus), 331 nucleotides. RefSeq lists it as uncharacterized. The record is from RefSeq and is a predicted model, not a curated record. The transcript is spliced from 2 exons. NCBI's taxonomy places the organism in Eukaryota, Metazoa, Mollusca, Cephalopoda, Octopoda, Octopodidae.
UUGAAGAGUAUUUUGUCUGAGUUUUCUCCUACAAUGAAGAAACUUGUUGAUGUUGGAAAGACAAAACCAGAAGCAAGAUCAUCUCCUCCAAGCAAGAACCCAAAUCCGUAUAUUUUACCAGAGCCUGAAGGGAAGGCAUUGCUGUGUUCCAGGACCAUUCCUACCAAGUCUGUACAUCAAGAAAUUAUUGCAGCAAAACAAUCUGGGAAACCUUUCUGUAGUCAAAAAAAAAAUUCUUCAUUCCUUCCAAAAUUGAAAUUGAAGAUCAAGACUUGUUAGUGAAUUCUUUUUCCUGUAGAAAAAUCUGGGAGAAAAACAUGUAAAAGAAGAA